CACGAUCCGCACCCGAUGUAUCGUUGAGACUCUUGACUAGAUUUAAGAGUUUUUCAAUGUCUUGAUUUUUGGUAGUACUAGUACUAGGCUUGGUAGGCUUUGGUUUAGAUUUCAUCAUAGCAUCAUCAAAUCGUACAAUUUUAACAUUGUCAGACAUUGGUAUAGUGUUGGGACUCCUCUUGCUUCUGUGAUUCACUCGGUUCAUUGUUUCCAAAUCGCUCACGGUCACAUCUAUGGGCGGUAGUUUAAAAUUGGGAUCGACGUUUUUACGCCAGCCCGACACUGUCCAUUUGUCGUCUAUGGCCGGAGGUGGAUCCUUUUCGAGAGGCGGUAAAGUUUUGCCGUUACCGUUCGACAUGGCGGUCAGACCGGCAUUUAUCAGCUUGAUUACGGCAUCGCCCACUAUUAUGUUGGCCAAUUUAUUAUACCAUUUAGUGUAGCAGGUACGAGUGUCGGGAUCGAACGCUUCGUAGUAAACGUCGCAAUAGUAUUUGUUAAAGUGAUACGUGUCCGUGGACGGCUCAUAGUCAAAGCCGGUGUCGAGAUCGUUUAGCCUAGGCGCGUACAGUUCACUGGACCGAUACCGGGGAAUCUCCAUCCAGGUGGCUGCAAAAGGUACGAUAUUGCAAGUGUUGCUAGUCUCUGACCAACGGUAGCGAACGUUGUGUGGCUUGUCGGUACCGUCAUCGGUGUGCACGGCCGUUUCGAACAAGUGGAAGCAGGCCGGAUUGCAUUGAACCUCAAAGUUUUCACUCUCGCCCAAUCUAUAGUAGCUGGCCGCAUCCGUCUUUUUGCAGGGUCCGUGCACACCGGACGAGUUGCACGAAAUGCUCUCGCACAAUUGUUUUGUAAUCUCUGCCUCUACGAAUAUGGCCUCGGAGGCCAUUGCCGGUGGAAUGUAAUAAUCGGCAUCGGUGGCCGCUCUGACGUUGACUUUCAAGUGCGACGCCAAGAAUGGAUACUUUUCGUUGAGCUUGUGCAGUAGCAUCAAGAGUUUACGAUGGUACGAAAACUUGGAGGCAUUUGCAAUGUCUAGUUGGGUGUAGGUUGUGGUGGUAGUGGUAGGAUUAGGAUUAAGGUUAUUAGGUACAUUAGACAUUGUUGAUUGUAUGGAUUCAUUAACCUAGCAUAUACAUACACGCAAACGUGAUAUUUAUACAAAGAUUUAUACCUAAUAUUUAUUAAGUACUCGAUAAGUACAAAGAUUCAAGUACCUAGUAAUACUAUGGGGAACGUGCAACUCUCUCUUCCUUUUGAAGGAAUUUAAACUUUUUGUACAAUAAAAUUAACAAGCAAGAUUAAUAUGCAAAUAGCAAUAACGUGCAGGUUAAUAUGCAAAUUUUAAUGAGGAGUUCAACUUAUGAGACUUUUAUGACAAUAUCAAGUUUUGUAAAUAAAAGGUUAUUUUCAACUGCAACAAUGUGUGAUGCAAAUUUGAGUUUGUACAGAGUAGCUCUAUUAAAAAAGAAUACUGCAAGCGUUGUUCAUUUUAUACACAACUUGUCGUAUACGAGUACUAGUAACACUACUAGUGCUACAACUAGUACCACUACUACUAAUACAACUAGUACAACUAGUACAACUAGUACCUACUACAACCCAUCAUAGAGGUUUACCAAUUCUUGUAAUCUUGUAAUCUUGUAAUAUAAACUAAAACUAAAUAUUCUUACAUUACCAAUUCUCUUUACAAUACCAAUCAUCAUUAUAUAAUACCAAUUCUUACAAUACCAAUUCUUACAAUACCAAUCAUCCUUACAAUUAGUACAACUGCCAAUUAUAGCUCUAUGUAGCUCUACCACCAGCUACUACACUCUACACUCUACACUCCGGCACUCUACAUGAUCCAGUACAUGCUCCAUUCUACACACUACGGCACUCGGCACACUCUACUCUACACACUCUUAUCCUAAUACUCUUACAAAUAUUUAAACAACAAAUAACAAGCAAUAGCAACAACAUAGGCGGACUUUAAGACUUUACUGUAAACUAGGAUGUUCAGACUACUUUGAUAAACUAGGACUUUAAAACAAAUUGAUACAUUAUAAUAAAAGUACAACAAAAGCACAACAACCCACUACCUCCCUUCAAACAUCAAAUCCCUUGGAUCUUUACAAGUACUUUAAAUUUCCAAACAUUUUAGAUCCAUGAUUAAAGUACAAGUCUAUGCGAUCCGGUAGCAGGCUUAGCGCAGUCUUGAACGCUCUCGAAUGAUCACGUUCUUUGGGAUUUAGUCGCAAAUAGAAUGUAUAGUCGCCUAUGUAGUUGCUGGGCUUGUCGUCCACCAGGCACGAGUAUGUAAUCAUUGUAGUUUUAAACUUUCGAUUCAGCUGCUUGAGUACAAAACCGAUGCCCUUGUUGAAGCCGUACGAUGUGUGGUACGAUCUCGUAAUGACAAUGUCAAACAGAGAAUAGAGUCGCAACCGCUUCAAGUGUCCGAUUACGUGACCGGGGUCUCCGUGCGACCACACCACCAUUCGUUUAAAGUGCUUCUUGAACUGCAACAGGUAGUGGAUGAGAUCCUCGGACGUUAGCGUGCCAUCGUCGUUGAUGAGCGUCUCGUCCAGAUCCCACACCACCACCGAUUCGUGCCGUUCGAUGGAUUGCUUAAAGGUUCUGUACAGCUUGAUAAUGUGAGAGAUGAGCGCUUCGCUAGUGGGAAACUCUUCGCCGUUCACAUAGUCUACGUACAAGUUUUGCUGGAUCAGGUAGUCGACGUUUUCAAAGUAGACCAGCACCGAGUAACCAAUGGAUCUGGCACCGGUCUCGUCCCAUUUCCCCUGGCACACUUUGUCGUUGAUGACCAAAUUUUGAAAUACACUGGCCAGGUUAAAGUGAAUCAAACGAUUCCGCUUCUUGUAGUUGGAAUCGACUAUUCUACAAAAAGACAUGGCGACUGCAUCUGGUAUACGUUUUAACGCGUACAACGAGCAUAUUCAAUAUUCGAUAUAGGUCAUAAGACGUUUACCCUAUUGC
This 2973-nucleotide unclassified non-coding RNA is filed under the name Heliothis zea nudivirus 1. RNAcentral describes it as "PAT1". The record is from RNAcentral. Lineage: Naldaviricetes; Lefavirales; Nudiviridae.